UACGAAGGGGGCUAGCUUUGCUCGGAAUCACUGGGCGUAAAGCGCACGUAGGCGGACUCUUAAGUCAGGGGUGAAAUCCUGGAGCUCAACUCCAGAACUGCCUUUGAUACUGGGAGUCUUGAGUUCGGGAGAGGUGAGUGGAACUGCGAGUGUAGAGGUGAAAUUCGUAGAUAUUCGCAAGAACACCAGUGGCGAAGGCGGCUCACUGGCCCGAUACUGACGCUGAGGUGCGAAAGCGUGGGGAGCAAACAGG
This 253-nucleotide ribosomal RNA is filed under the name uncultured bacterium. RNAcentral's name for it is "partial 16S ribosomal RNA". It matches the Rfam family "Bacterial small subunit ribosomal RNA", at positions 524 to 776 of the family's 1533-position model. The record is from RNAcentral.